This 20-nucleotide non-coding RNA is filed under the name Arabidopsis thaliana (thale cress). Lineage: Eukaryota; Viridiplantae; Streptophyta; Magnoliopsida; Brassicales; Brassicaceae. The record is from RNAcentral.
UUCACGAGCCACUCAAUGUA